CUUCCGUAGGGGGGACCUGCGGAGGGAUCAUUACACAAAUAUGAAGGCGGGCUGGAACCUCUCGGGGUUACAGCCUUGCUGAAUUAUUCACCCUUGUCUUUUGCGUACUUCUUGUUUCCUUGGUGGGUUCGCCCACCACUAGGACAAACAUAAACCUUUUGUAAUUGCAAUCAGCGUCAGUAACAAAUUAAUAAUUACAACUUUCAACAACGGAUCUCUUGGUUCUGGCAUCGAUGAAGAACGCAGCGAAAUGCGAUAAGUAGUGUGAAUUGCAGAAUUCAGUGAAUCAUCGAAUCUUUGAACGCACAUUGCGCCCUUUGGUAUUCCAAAGGGCAUGCCUGUUCGAGCGUCAUUUGUACCCUCAAGCUUUGCUUGGUGUUGGGCGUCUUGUCUCUAGCUUUGCUGGAGACUCGCCUUAAAGUAAUUGGCAGCCGGCCUACUGGUUUCGGAGCGCAGCACAAGUCGCACUCUCUAUCAGCAAAGGUCUAGCAUCCAUUAAGCCUUUUUUCAACUUUGACCUCGGAUCAGUAGGAACCCGGUUCUA
This 544-nucleotide ribosomal RNA is filed under the name fungal endophyte. RNAcentral describes it as "eukaryotic LSU rRNA". The stretch from base 199 to 352 matches the Rfam family "5.8S ribosomal RNA". Lineage: Eukaryota; Fungi. The record is from RNAcentral.